CACAUGCUGUGAGCUCGAUGAGUAGGGCGGGACACGUGGUAUCCUGUCUGAAUAUGGGGGGACCAUCCUCCAAGGCUAAAUACUCCUGACUGACCGAUAGUGAACCAGUACCGUGAGGGAAAGGCGAAAAGAACCCCGGCGAGGGGAGUGAAAAAGAACCUGAAACCGUGUACGUACAAGCAGUGGGAGCACGCUUAGGCGUGUGACUGCGUACCUUUUGUAUAAUGGGUCAGCGACUUAUAUUCUGUAGCAAGGUUAACCGAAUAGGGGAGCCGAAGGGAAACCGAGUCUUAACUGGGCGUUAAGUUGCAGGGUAUAGACCCGAAACCCGGUGAUCUAGCCAUGGGCAGGUUGAAGGUUGGGUAACACUAACUGGAGGACCGAACCGACUAAUGUUGAAAAAUUAGCGGAUGACUUGUGGCUGGGGGUGAAAGGCCAAUCAAACCGGGAGAUAGCUGGUUCUCCCCGAAAGCUAUUUAGGUAGCGCCUCGUGAAUUCAUCUCCGGGGGUAGAGCACUGUUUCGGCAAGGGGGUCAUCCCGACUUACCAACCCGAUGCAAACUGCGAAUACCGGAGAAUGUUAUCACGGGAGACACACGGCGGGUGCUAACGUCCGUCGUGAAGAGGGAAACAACCCAGACCGCCAGCUAAGGUCCCAAAGUCAUGGUUAAGUGGGAAACGAUGUGGGAAGGCCCAGACAGCCAGGAUGUUGGCUUAGAAGCAGCCAUCAUUUAAAGAAAGCGUAAUAGCUCACUGGUCGAGUCGGCCUGCGCGGAAGAUGUAACGGGGCUAAACCAUGCACCGAAGCUGCGGCAGCGACGCUUAUGCGUUGUUGGGUA
RNAcentral lists this ribosomal RNA (839 nucleotides) under Escherichia coli. Its description in RNAcentral is "bacterial LSU rRNA". It matches the Rfam family "Bacterial large subunit ribosomal RNA", at positions 391 to 1230 of the family's 2925-position model. The record is from RNAcentral. Lineage: Bacteria; Pseudomonadati; Pseudomonadota; Gammaproteobacteria; Enterobacterales; Enterobacteriaceae.